GUAGGUGGCAAGCGUUGUCCGGAAUUAUUGGGCGUAAAGCGCGCGCAGGCGGUUCUUUAAGUCUGAUGUGAAAGCCCACGGCUCAACCGUGGAGGGUCAUUGGAAACUGGAGAACUUGAGUACAGAAGAGGAAAGCGGAACUCCACGUGUAGCGGUGAAAUGCGUAGAGAUGUGGAGGAACACCAGUGGCGAAGGCGGCUUUCUGGUCUGUAACUGACGCUGAGGCGCGAAAGCGUGGGGAGCAAACAGGAUUAGAUACCCGUGGUAGUCCACGCCGUAAACGAUGAGUGCUAAGUGUUAGGGGGUUUCCGCCCCCCUUAGUGCUGCAGCUAACGCAUUAAGCACUCCGCCUGGGAGUACGGCCGCAAGGCUG
Molecule: ribosomal RNA, 373 nt
Filed under: uncultured organism
Description: partial 16S ribosomal RNA
Rfam family: Bacterial small subunit ribosomal RNA
Source: RNAcentral